This 465-nucleotide ribosomal RNA is filed under the name uncultured bacterium. Its description in RNAcentral is "partial 16S ribosomal RNA". It matches the Rfam family "Bacterial small subunit ribosomal RNA", at positions 338 to 795 of the family's 1533-position model. The record is from RNAcentral.
CCUACGGGAAGCAGCAGUGGGGAAUCUUGCGCAAUGGGCGAAAGCCUGACGCAGCGACGCCGCGUGAGGGAUGAAGGUCUUCGGAUCGUAAACCUCUGUCAGCAGGGACGAACGGUCGCUGUGCUAAUUAGCCUUGAAUUGACGGUACCUGCAAAGGAAGCACCGGCUAACUCCGUGCCAGCAGCCGCGGUAAUACGUAGGGGGCGAGCGUGAACCGGAAUUACUGGGCGUAAAGCGCUCGUAGGCGGUAUUUCAAGUCAAGUGUGAAAGCCCCGCGCUCAACGGGGGCAUUGCAUUUGAAACUGGCGAACGUGAGGGGACGAGAGGAUAGUGGAAUUCCAGGUGUAGGAGUGAAAUGCGUAGAUAUCUGGAGGAACACCAGGGGCGAAGGCGACUAUCUGGCACAUAACUGACGCUGAGGAGCGAAAGCGUGGGUAGCAAACAGGAUUAGAUACCCUUGUAGUC